GACGAACGCUGGCGGCGUGCUUAACACAUGCAAGUCGAACGAUGAAGAAAAGAAUCGAAGCUUUGGCAGAAAUGCAUUUCGGAGUAGUGGCAGACGGGUGAGUAACGCGUGAGCAAGCUACCGCUUACAAAGGGAUAGCUACGGGAAACCGGGAUUAAUACCAUAUAACAUUGUGACGAAGCAUUUCGAUGCAAUCAAAGCUACGGCGGGAAGAGAUGGGCGCGCGUCCCAUUAACCGGAUGGUGAGGUAACGGCUGCCCAUAGUGACGAUGGGUAACCGGGCUGAGAGGCUGACCCGUCACACUUGAGCUGAGACACGGUCCAGACUCCUACGGGAGGCAGCAGUGGGGAAUAUUGCACAAUGGAGGGAGCUCAGAUGCAGCGACGCCGCGUAAGUGAUGAAGGAAUUCGUUUCGUAAAUCUCUGUUCUAUGGGGAGAGAAUGACUGUACCAUAGGAGAAAGCACCGGCUAACUACGUG
RNAcentral lists this ribosomal RNA (480 nucleotides) under uncultured bacterium. RNAcentral describes it as "partial 16S ribosomal RNA". It matches the Rfam family "Bacterial small subunit ribosomal RNA", at positions 28 to 507 of the family's 1533-position model. The record is from RNAcentral.